This 496-nucleotide ribosomal RNA is filed under the name uncultured bacterium. Its description in RNAcentral is "partial 16S ribosomal RNA". It matches the Rfam family "Bacterial small subunit ribosomal RNA", at positions 28 to 506 of the family's 1533-position model. The record is from RNAcentral.
GAUGAACGCUGGCGGCGUGCCUAAUACAUGCCAGUCGAGCGAACAGACGAGGAGCUUGCUCCUCUGACGUUAGCGGCGGACGGGUGAGUAACACGUGGAUAACCUACCUAUAAGACUGGGAUAACUUCGGGAAACCGGAGCUAAUACCGGAUAAUAUAUUGAACCGCAUGGUUCAAUAGUGAAAGACGGUUUUGCUGUCACUUAUAGAUGGAUCCGCGCCGCAUUAGCUAGUUGGUAAGGUAACGGCUUACCAAGGCGACGAUGCGUAGCCGACCUGAGAGGGUGAUCGGCCACACUGGAACUAGGACACGGUCCAAAACCCUACGGGAGGCAGCAGUAGGGAAUUUUCCGAAAGGGGCGAAAGCCUAACGGGACAACGCCGGGGGAGGGAGGAAGGUCUUCGGAUCGUAAAACUUUUUUAUUGGGGAAGAAAAAAUGUGUAAGUAACUAUGCACGUUUUGACGGUACCAAAGAAGAAAGCCCCGGCAAACUACGU